UCCCAGGUGACCUAGUGGGUUGAAGAUCCUGCAUUGUUACUGCUGUGGCUCAGGUUUGAUCCCUGGCUUGGGAA
Molecule: transfer RNA, 74 nt
Filed under: Sus scrofa (pig)
Lineage: Eukaryota; Metazoa; Chordata; Mammalia; Artiodactyla; Suidae
Rfam family: tRNA
About the family: Transfer RNA (tRNA) molecules are approximately 80 nucleotides in length. Their secondary structure includes four short double-helical elements and three loops (D, anti-codon, and T loops).
Source: Rfam by way of RNAcentral